Molecule: ribosomal RNA, 247 nt
Filed under: uncultured bacterium
Lineage: Bacteria
Description: partial 16S ribosomal RNA
Rfam family: Bacterial small subunit ribosomal RNA
Source: RNAcentral
GGGGGCUAGCGUUGCUCGGAAUCACUGGGGGUAAAGCGCACGUAGGCGGCUUUCUAAGUCAGGGGUGAAAUCCUGGAGCUCAACUCCAGAACUGCCUUUGAUACUGGGAAGCUCGAGUCCGGAAGAGGUGAGUGGAACUCCGAGUGUAGAGGUGAAAUUCGUAGAUAUUCGGAAGAACACCAGUGGCGAAGGCGGCUCACUGGUCCGAUACUGACGCUGAGGUGCGAAAGCGUGGGGAGCAAACAGG